GCGAAGAGCACCCAAUGGUCUCAGUGAAAUUCUGUUUCCCUUCACAAAUGUGCUGGAAGAGAAUUAAUCCAUUCCUGCCUCCUAGCAACCACUUACCAUUACAACUAAGGCCAAGACAGCAAGUAAACAUCCGCUGUCUGCUGCUCCACUCAGAAUUGUCACAGGGGAAAGGAUGCUGUCAUAAAUCACUACGAAAUGGUGUUGAAUUCUAUUUACACCGCACGCAGUUGCAGAAAGAUGUCCUAGAUGUCCUGCCAAAAGCCUCAGCUGUAACUCUUAAGUCAAAGGUGAUGAUGGCAUUUGGAGUUUGUAAGAUCAACAGUGCAACAGGAUCUGCUACCUGGGUGUUGAGGACCAGUCCCUCCCCAUUACAAAGUGCAUUCAGUCUGAGCUCG
Molecule: long non-coding RNA, 395 nt
Filed under: Anser brachyrhynchus (Pink-footed goose)
Lineage: Eukaryota; Metazoa; Chordata; Aves; Anseriformes; Anatidae
Description: lncRNA (ENSABRG00000006067.1)
Source: RNAcentral